This 291-nucleotide ribosomal RNA is filed under the name uncultured Ralstonia sp. RNAcentral describes it as "partial 16S ribosomal RNA". It matches the Rfam family "Bacterial small subunit ribosomal RNA", at positions 505 to 796 of the family's 1533-position model. Lineage: Bacteria; Pseudomonadati; Pseudomonadota; Betaproteobacteria; Burkholderiales; Burkholderiaceae. The record is from RNAcentral.
GUGCCAGCAGCGCGGUAAUACGUAGGGUCCAAGCGUUAAUCGGAAUUACUGGGCGUAAAGCGUGCGCAGGCGGUUGUGCAAGACCGAUGUGAAAUCCCCGAGCUUAACGUGGGAAUUGCAUUGGUGACUGCACGGCUAGAGUGUGUCAGAGGGGGGUAGAAUUCCACGUGUAGCAGUGAAAUGCGUAGAGAUGUGGAGGAAUACCGAUGGCGAAGGCAGCCCCCUGGGAUAACACUGACGCUCAUGCACGAAAGCGUGGGGAGCAAACAGGAUUAGAAACCCUUGUAGUCC